Molecule: long non-coding RNA, 552 nt
Organism: Salvia miltiorrhiza (redroot sage)
Lineage: Eukaryota; Viridiplantae; Streptophyta; Magnoliopsida; Lamiales; Lamiaceae
Exons: 2
Source: RefSeq, a predicted model, not a curated record
AUUUUAAAAAGAUUUGGAUUAAUAUUACUUCCUUUUUAUUUGUCUUUUGUAUAAUCUGAAUUGAUGCCUUCUUUUCGCUGCUGUUUCCCUUUCUUCGAAUUAAGCUUCUCAAAAACCAAAGAACCGAUUAAAGAUGAUGAGCAAAAGGGCUGCUGUUUCUGCAAUUCAUCUCAUUCAUACAAGAGGAUUUCUCAAUCGAUGGUCGCAUCUAUCGGGAAAAUUUAAAUUAUCACGUGGGAUUUUUACUCCGGUUCAGUUGUCAAGAAGUGAUUCAUAGAAUGCUAAGAGUGAUAUAUACUCGAAGGGAGUUCCACCGUCGGGUGGUCUUGCUGCACUGUGUCUUGUGCUAGUAUGAAUCCAUCGGCUUUGAGUUUCUCAUCUUGUUGUUACUUUACAAGAAUUUGCGUGUGAUGAAUUAACUCCGUGUUGUGAUUUCACUGUUUUCCAUCUUCACUAGUGUUGUGUCUUAUGAAUAAUUUGAUACUGAUUUUGACAUUUUGUGUUCUUCAACAGCCAUUUUUGCUACUUGGAAGAGUUUAGCCUUUUGAUUUU